GUGGGGAAUAUUGGACAAUGGGCGAAAGCCUGAUCCAGCCAUGCCGCGUGUGUGAAGAAGGUCUUCGGAUUGUAAAGCACUUUAAGUUGGGAGGAAGGGCAGUAAGUUAAUACCUUGCUGUUUUGACGUUACCGACAGAAUAAGCACCGGCUAACUUCGUGCCAGCAGCCGCGGUAAUACGAAGGGUGCAAGCGUUAAUCGGAAUUACUGGGCGUAAAGCGCGCGUAGGUGGUUUUGUAAGUUGGAGGUGAAAUCCCCGGGCUCAACCUGGGAACUGCCUCCAAAACUGCAUUACUAGAGUACGGUAGAGGGUAGUGGAAUUGCCUGUGUAGCGGUGAAAUGCGUAGAUAUAGGAAGGAACACCAGUGGCGAAGGCGACUACCUGGACUGAUACUGACACUGAGGUGCGAAAGCGUGGGGAGCAAACAGGAUUAGAAACCCUGGUAGUCC
Molecule: ribosomal RNA, 450 nt
Filed under: uncultured bacterium
Lineage: Bacteria
Description: bacterial SSU rRNA
Rfam family: Bacterial small subunit ribosomal RNA
Source: RNAcentral